Molecule: long non-coding RNA, 640 nt
Filed under: Hordeum vulgare
Lineage: Eukaryota; Viridiplantae; Streptophyta; Magnoliopsida; Poales; Poaceae
Description: long non-coding RNA (HVUL_LNC017446)
Source: RNAcentral
UGUCACUUUGGGAUCACUAAAGCCUGGAUUUAUUUAUACGUAGUACUUAAUUUGAACUGUUCGAUUGUUGUGCAUAUAUAACACUCUGUUUCGUUUUAAGCAUGGAACCCGUGGCUGUUCUGUCUGCUUGUUAGUACUAUCUAUUUGGUCUCAUGAAACCCAUACAACAAUAUACCAUAUGUUGUAGUAUUUUAUGAUAAUGUUGUUAAUACUUGAAAGCAUUGACGGGACUCCUUGACCAUUAGUUGGAUAUUGUCUAUUUGGUCUUUUUAUUAUACUGUCAAAAAGAUUAUACUCAUGAACUGCAUGGUGAAACUUUGUUUGUUGUUGAUCUGGUAGUUCAUUCCAAGGCAUGAUAGCUUGGUCAACACAUUGCUCUGUUUCGAUUUGUGCAAUAAGGAUUAAAAAACAUUUUCAUUAUGUACCUUAACUCGCUAACGCCCCGAAGGGAUAAUGUUACGAGUUCGUUCAAAGACAUAACAUUGUAUUAUAGUAGUACUGACAUGGGACUUCACAUCCCCAUCUUUUCGCCUACUUGGCCAUUAGUAGAUAUUCCAGGUCUUCCUUUGUUUUAUUGUAGAUACAAGAGUUACUAUUUCAUUAUGCUGAUACGUGAUGUAACUUUUUUUUAUCUUCACAG